RNAcentral lists this long non-coding RNA (1994 nucleotides) under Homo sapiens (human). Its description in RNAcentral is "non-protein coding lnc-DPYD-9:1". The record is from RNAcentral. Lineage: Eukaryota; Metazoa; Chordata; Mammalia; Primates; Hominidae.
ACCUUUCUUUCUCCCAUAACCUGUUUUGCCAGGAUCUAAGCCCCGCUUUAUGUUUUUAUCAAAGGGACCAUUGGCACAUAGUAGCUCCUCCCAAAGUGCUGGGAGUACAGGCAUGAGUCACCAUGCCUGGCCAACUUUCUGUAGCUUCUACAUCAGCACUUACUACUGCCAUUUAUAAAGCGUUACAUAGUCUUCCAAAUACCUUUUCACACAUUGCUUUAUUCAGUUCACAUUUGUGAACAAAACAAGAAAAAGAAUCAAGUUUUCCAGUAAGUGAAGAAAUCUUCACACACACGCUAUUGAGAUGGUGUUCCGUGGAAGAUGCUUAUGGUGCGCCUGGUCCAGCUGCAACCUUGCAGGGAGCCAGUGUCCAUGCUGGCACCUGGAGCUGCCUGUCCUGCUGCAGCCAGUGUGCCUGGGUGUGCACCGUGGCUGGAUCCCAUGCUCACUUGCUCACAUACCCCUCACCACUCUGCUUGCCUUUGGCAGGCAGGGGUCCGGGCCAGUAGCGCAAACCAAGCACAGCCUACCAAGCCGAAUGGGCCCAGCAGGCCUAUGCAAAACUGGAGCAAAGGCACCACAGGCCACAGAGGCUUUUGGCUGUUGAAGUGACACCCCAGGGAUGUCAUAACAUUAGGUUAUGAGAUUCUAGGUCUUAUUUAAAAUUUCUGUUUUAUAUGACUUUUUCUGACAGUGCUCCUGCAGGAACAGUGUGGGGCAGGAGGGAACAACAUCUAAUUCCUGCCCAAUGGGUCUAGAAAUCCAGGCUUCCUUUUGAACCUUGCUGGACAUUUUCAGGGAUGGGGGUGAUUCUUUGUCAGGCUGGGUGGAGGUGAAAGGCCCAGCUCACCACAGAGUACAUGAUUCUUUCCUGUGGCGUUCAGCUGGAAUGGAUAAUUGUUGCCUUGCUAGGCUGCCCCUUGCCUGGUUCUUUGGCUACAAGGAACACAGUUAGCUGGGGAUUUUAUUUUUUUUUGUCUGUACCUAUUGUGUUUCUGAGAUACUGGCUUCUGCAGCUCCAAGAUUAGAAUAUAGGAGGCAAGAAGAAAGCUAAGAAACUAAUCAUUGUGUUAUUCUCAAAGUCUCUAAGCCAGUCUACCCUCUUUUCUCCACCUUUUCAAGUCUUCUUAUGUUUGCUUUUUAUACAAUGUCCAGGGCUUUUAGUUUAGUGAGAAGAAUGUAGAAAAGUACAUCCACUCUAUUUUCCCAGAAAUUGAACCAUCCAAUUAAUUUGUAAUUUCAGGUUUUAUAUUUUCUAGUUCUAAAAUGCCCAGUUUGUUCCCUUUUUAAAAUUCAAUUUAAAAUUUAUCUUUUUGUCCAUUUUUCAUGUAUUCCUCUAAGAUAUUUGGUAGCUCUUUCAAUAGCUUGUCUACUAAUUCCAACAUCUGAAUAUAAUUCUAUGACUGCUUUUUCUGUUAUUAGUAUUUACUUUGUCUUGCAUCUUUGAAUAUCUAAUUAUUUAUUUUUAACUAGAUAUAGUAUUUAAAAGAUCCUUAUGAAGUAAAGUAAAUAAACAUUGCUCCCCAGAUAGGAACUAAGCAACUCGGCAACUGGUUUGAGAAAAUGACCACUUUAGGUCCAAACAGUUGAACUCAGAUGGGUCUUGGUUGCAGCUUUAGUUAGCUUCAACUUACCUCCUGUUUCAAAUAUUUUCAGGGUAAGAUCCAUUCUGCAUGCAUUGCAAUCUCUUCCCUCUUGCAAGAUCUAAGAACUGUGAUACUACAGAAGGCUAUUAUUGCUUUCCAGCCCAGACUCUUAUCUUCCAUGCUGCCAUAGCCAAAUACCCAACAAAAGUCCAAUGGGAAAAAGAUCGGCAAGGAGAGAUAAUUAGCUUUGUGUUUGGGAAUCCAUAGCCCUAAUAUGUCAGCCAGCGAGCCCACCAUGUCAUUAAAUCCUCUUGUUUCUCAUUAACCAAGAAAAGUGGCUCUUCCCAUGGCAGUCUGAUUUUCAGCCUGCCCAAACCUAAACUAGGCAGGCCAUGUGGAGGAAAGUGG